AAAGAGGCCCUCCUGGACUGGAUGGAAAUCCUGGAGAACUGGGCCUGCCAGGCCCCCCUGGAGUCCCCGGCCUCAUUGGUGACUUAGGAGUGUUGGGUCCGAUUGGCUACCCGGGACCCAAGGGCAUGAAGGGACUGAUGGGCAGCGUGGGGGAGCCCGGACUGAAAGGGUGAACAAGGGGUUCCAGGUGUGUCAGGAGAUCCCGGAUUCCAAGGAGACAAGGGGAGCCAGGGGUUGCCAGGGUUCCCCGGUGCACGGGGGAAGCCAGGGCCUCUGGGCAAAGUCGGAGACAAAGGAUCCAUUGGGUUUCCCGGGCCCCCUGGACCCGAGGGAUUCCCAGGAGACAUCGGCCCCCCUGGCGACAAUGGCCCAGAAGGCAUGAAGGGUAAGCCUGGAGCCCGAGGCCUGCCGGGACCCCGUGGGCAGCUGGGGCCCGAGGGAGAUGAGGGACCCAUGGGGCCGCCAGGGGCCCCUGGCUUGGAGGGUCAGCCUGGCAGGAAGGGGUUUCCUGGGAGGCCCGGCCUGGAUGGCGUGAAGGGGGAACCAGGGGAUCCUGGUCGGCCGGGGCCUGUGGGAGAGCAGGUUAGUUAGCAACGGUCUCUGAAUGAGUGGCUCCAUUUAUUGGGCCCUUACUCUGUGCCAAGCCCUUUGCCCAGCACCCUCCAUGCACCACCUCGUGUAAUUCUCAGAACAACUCCAGAGGUAGGUUCAGUCCUCUACCCCUUUCACGAAUGUGGACGGUGACCCUCAGAACGGGGAAGUCUGUAAAUGAGAAAGCUGUGGAUCAUAGUCACGACAGCUUUUCCCCACAGCCUGACUCUACACACAGGUUUUUGGUGCAUUUGCCCAAAGAGGUUAUGUGACUGCUCCCCCAGGACAUUAAAACUGGAGGAGCCCUUGGCAGUCGUUGCUCGUGUUCCCAUCAGCUUAUAGAUCAGGAAGCCAAAGGCCAGAGAAGUGUUACCACUUGCCAAGGUCCCUUGGUCUAGGCAUCCCUAAAUUAUAUAGAAGAUGAAAUCCAAACCAGUGGCUCUGGCUGGUUGAGAAGCUGGGUCAAGGUCUGAAGAAGAGAAGAGGUUGCAACUAGUCAUUAAAAUGAAGGUUUGAGGAUCACGACCUUCAAUUAAAGUCCAGAGAAACAGCUCUGAGGGAUGGGCAGAGGGACAGCUUCAAUCCUUCCUGCCCAGCCCUGGGGCCUCCUGAAAGCUUAACCUCUUGGCUCCAAGGUGGAGAGGUGUUCAUCUCCUCCACUCCUUUAAAUAUGGAGCUCAUUCCUGGAAGGGGCUUCCUCAAUCCGGAAGGACUGAUGCUGGGGAUGGCCAUAGAGGAAUUUGGCCGCACCACGAAACCCCGUCAGUGGCGUGAGAGUCACACACGAUGGGCUUCCUCACCAGGCCUGCAACAUCUGUUGGGGGAAGAAAGGAAUUAAAACAGGGGGAGGCCUGGAUUUUUGAAAUCUUUCCAGUGUCAUUCGAGCGCAUUCUGUGGGAAGCCCGGGAGUUUGGAGAGGCUGCCGCGGCCUGGAUAUAUUUCCUGAUU
Molecule: long non-coding RNA, 1539 nt
Filed under: Homo sapiens (human)
Lineage: Eukaryota; Metazoa; Chordata; Mammalia; Primates; Hominidae
Description: HSALNT0154303
Source: RNAcentral